Molecule: ribosomal RNA, 443 nt
Filed under: uncultured bacterium
Lineage: Bacteria
Description: partial 16S ribosomal RNA
Rfam family: Bacterial small subunit ribosomal RNA
Source: RNAcentral
CCUACGGGUGGCAGCAGUGGGGAAUAUUGGGCAAUGGGCGCAAGCCUGACCCAGCAACGCCGCGUGAAGGAAGAAGGCUUUCGGGUUGUAAACUUCUUUUGUCAGGGACGAAGCAAGUGACGGUACCUGACGAAUAAGCCACGGCUAACUACGUGCCAGCAGCCGCGGUAAUACGGAGGUGGCAAGCGUUAUCCGGAUUUAUUGGGUGGAAAGGGCGUGUAGGCGGGAAUGCAAGUCAGCUGGGAAAACGAUGGGCUCAACCCAUAGCCUGCAUUUGAAACUGUGGUUCUUGAGUGCUGGAGAGGCAAUCGGAAUUCCGUGUGUAGCGGUGAAAUGCGUAGAUAUACGGAGGAACACCAGUGGCGAAGGCGGAUUGCUGGACAGUAACUGACGCUGAGGCGCGAAAGCGUGGGGAGCAAACAGGAUUAGAUACCCGAGUAGUC